ACAAGAUGAAAGUCCAGCUAUGACAGCAUUACCAACAAUCACAGAAACACAACUAAUUACAACAACUGAAACAAUCAGUAGUUGUGCUGACGGUUAUUCCUCAUGUAUUACCACAACAAUGUUACAAUCAACAGAUGUAGGAUCCAUUAGUGUUGCUAUUGCUGUUCCUAUCACUGGUCUAUUAACUGGACUC
Amphimedon queenslandica is the source of this 193-nucleotide long non-coding RNA. RefSeq lists it as uncharacterized. Lineage: Eukaryota; Metazoa; Porifera; Demospongiae; Haplosclerida; Niphatidae. The record is from RefSeq and is a predicted model, not a curated record. The transcript has 3 exons.